This 469-nucleotide ribosomal RNA is filed under the name uncultured bacterium. RNAcentral describes it as "partial 16S ribosomal RNA". It matches the Rfam family "Bacterial small subunit ribosomal RNA", at positions 28 to 507 of the family's 1533-position model. The record is from RNAcentral.
GAUGAACGCUGGCGGCGUGCUUAACACAUGCAAGUCGAACGGAAAGGCCCUGCUUUUGUGGGGUGCUCGAGUGGCGAACGGGUGAGUAACACGUGAGUAACCUGCCCUUGACUUUGGGAUAACUUCAGGAAACUGGGGCUAAUACCGGAUAGGAGCUCCUGCUGCAUGGUGGGGGUUGGAAAGUUUCGGCGGUUGGGGAUGGACUCGCGGCUUAUCAGCUUGUUGGUGGGGUAGUGGCUUACCAAGGCUUUGACGGGUAGCCGGCCUGAGAGGGUGACCGGCCACAUUGGGACUGAGAUACGGCCCAGACUCCUACGGGAGGCAGCAGUGGGGAAUAUUGCACAAUGGGUGGAAGCCUGAUGCAGCAACGCCGUGUGCGGGAGGACGGCCUUCGGGUUGUAAACCGCUUUCGCUCAUGACGAAGCUUUGUGUGACGGUAGUGGGUAAAGAAGCACCGGCUAACUACGUG